This 253-nucleotide ribosomal RNA is filed under the name uncultured bacterium. RNAcentral describes it as "partial 16S ribosomal RNA". It matches the Rfam family "Bacterial small subunit ribosomal RNA", at positions 524 to 776 of the family's 1533-position model. The record is from RNAcentral.
UACGUAGGGUGCAAGCGUUGUCCGGAAUUAUUGGGCGUAAAGAGCUCGUAGGCGGUCUGUUGCGUCGGCUGUGAAAACCCGGGGCUCAACCCCGGGCCUGCAGCCGAUACGAGCAGACUAGAGUUCGGCAGGGGAGACUGGAAUUCUCGGUGUAGCGGUGAAAUGCGUAGAUAUCGAGAGGAACACCUGCGGCGAAGGCGGGUAGCUGGGCCGACACUGACGCUGAUGCGCGAAAGCCAGGGGAGCGAACGGG